AGACAGCAGUAGCCACGGUAAUACGUAGGGUGCGAGCGCUAAUCGGAAUUACUGGGCGUAAAGUGUGCGCAGGCGGUUCGUUAAGACAGAUGUGAAAUCCCCGGGCUUAACCUGGGAACUGCAUUUGUGACUGGCGAGCUAGAGUAUGGCAGAGGGGGGUAGAAUUCCACGUGUAGCAGUGAAAUGCGUAGAGAUGUGGAGGAAUACCGAUGGCGAAGGCAGCCCCCUGGGCCAAUACUGACGCUCAUGCACGAAAGCGUGGGGAGCAAACAGGAUUAGAUACCCCGGUAGUCCCUGUCUCUUAUAA
Molecule: ribosomal RNA, 307 nt
Filed under: uncultured bacterium
Lineage: Bacteria
Description: partial 16S ribosomal RNA
Rfam family: Bacterial small subunit ribosomal RNA
Source: RNAcentral